AGAGUUUGAUCCUGGCUCAGGACGAACGCUGGCGGCGUGCCUAAUACAUGCAAGUCGAGCGGACAGAUGGGAGCUUGCUCCCUGAUGUUAGCGGCGGACGGGUGAGUAACACGUGGGUAACCUGCCUGUAAGACUGGGAUAACUCCGGGAAACCGGGGCUAAUACCGGAUGGUUGUUUGAACCGCAUGGUUCAAACAUAAAAGGUGGCUUCGGCUACCACUUACAGAUGGACCCGCGGCGCAUUAGCUAGUUGGUGAGGUAACGGCUCACCAAGGCAACGAUGCGUAGCCGACCUGAGAGGGUGAUCGGCCACACUGGGACUGAGACACGGCCCAGACUCCUACGGGAGGCAGCAGUAGGGAAUCUUCCGCAAUGGACGAAAGUCUGACGGAGCAACGCCGCGUGAGUGAUGAAGGUUUUCGGAUCGUAAAGCUCUGUUGUUAGGGAAGAACAAGUACCGUUCGAAUAGGGCGGUACCUUGACGGUACCUAACCAGAAAGCCACGGCUAACUACGUGCCAGCAGCCGCGGUAAUACGUAGGUGGCAAGCGUUGUCCGGAAUUAUUGGGCGUAAAGGGCUCGCAGGCGGUUUCUUAAGUCUGAUGUGAAAGCCCCCGGCUCAACCGGGGAGGGUCAUUGGAAACUGGGGAACUUGAGUGCAGAAGAGGAGAGCGGAAUUCCACGUGUAGCGGUGAAAUGCGUAGAGAUGUGGAGGAACACCAGUGGCGAAGGCGACUCUCUGGUCUGUAACUGACGCUGAGGAGCGAAAGCGUGGGGAGCGAACAGGAUUAGAUACCCUGGUAGUCCACGCCGUAAACGAUGAGUGCUAAGUGUUAGGGGGUUUCCGCCCCUUAGUGCUGCAGCUAACGCAUUAAGCACUCCGCCUGGGGAGUACGGUCGCAAGACUGAAACUCAAAGGAAUUGACGGGGGCCCGCACAAGCGGUGGAGCAUGUGGUUUAACUCGAAGCAACGCGAAGAACCUUACCAGGUCUUGACAUCCUCUGACAAUCCUAGAGAUAGGACGUCCCCUUCGGGGGCAGAGUGACAGGUGGUGCAUGGUUGUCGUCAGCUCGUGUCGUGAGAUGUUGGGUUAAGUCCCGCAACGAGCGCAACCCUUGAUCUUAGUUGCCAGCAUUCAGUUGGGCACUCUAAGGUGACUGCCGGUGACAAACCGGAGGAAGGUGGGGAUGACGUCAAAUCAUCAUGCCCCUUAUGACCUGGGCUACACACGUGCUACAAUGGACAGAACAAAGGGCAGCGAAACCGCGAGGUUAAGCCAAUCCCACAAAUCUGUUCUCAGUUCGGAUCGCAGUCUGCAACUCGACUGCGUGAAGCUGGAAUCGCUAGUAAUCGCGGAUCAGCAUGCCGCGGUGAAUACGUUCCCGGGCCUUGUACACACCGCCCGUCACACCACGAGAGUUUGUAACACCCGAAGUCGGUGAGGUAACCUUUUAGGAGCCAGCCGCCGAAGGUGGGACAGAUGAUUGGGGUGAAGUCGUAACAAGGUA
This 1508-nucleotide ribosomal RNA is filed under the name metagenome. RNAcentral describes it as "bacterial SSU rRNA". It matches the Rfam family "Bacterial small subunit ribosomal RNA". The record is from RNAcentral.